Molecule: ribosomal RNA, 212 nt
Filed under: uncultured bacterium
Lineage: Bacteria
Description: partial 16S ribosomal RNA
Rfam family: Bacterial small subunit ribosomal RNA
Source: RNAcentral
AAUCAACGCUGGCGGCGUGCCUAACACAUGCAAGUCGAACGCGGUUACCCCGCAAGGGGUGACCGAGUGGCGAACGGGUGAGUAACACGUGGGUGAUCUACCUUCGAGUGGGGGAUAACGUUCCGAAAGGAACGCUAAUACCGCAUGACGUUCCGGGUUUGAAGACCUGAAAACCAAAGCUGGGGACCGCAAGGCCUGGCGCUUGGAGAGGA